This is a long non-coding RNA of Notolabrus celidotus (New Zealand spotty), 1045 nucleotides long. RefSeq lists it as uncharacterized. Lineage: Eukaryota; Metazoa; Chordata; Actinopteri; Labriformes; Labridae. The record is from RefSeq and is a predicted model, not a curated record. The transcript has 2 exons.
UUGGUCAAAUUUGCGGUAAAAUUGCGGUGAUUGUAUAAAAUUGGAAGGCUGCGAAAAAAUCACACUGAUUGGUUAAAUCUGCGUCGAUAGUUGCGAUCGCGAAAUCGCAACUUCCUGGAGGGACUGUAUUGUCUUGCACAUAAUGAAGCAGCUUCAUGCCCUUGCUACUCAAGCAUUCCUGUCCAGCAGUGAAACCUUAACUCUUUGAGGGAUAUGUAUGAGCAGGCGACUGUGGAAGUUUUCAGGAGCAGGCUGUCCUUACAUUUUCUGGAAAUUCUCAACAACGCAUGCACUUAAAACAAAAAAGCUGUGGAAUUUUAAGGCAACUGUCUGCACUUGAUUUUUGAGUUUUGAGGCUCACUAGAAAUCUUACAUUGGAGGCAACUGAAAAUGUUCCUUUGUUAGUGCACAUUACUGCACCAUUUUACCACUUGCAAGGUAGCUAGCUUAUUUUCCAGGCGGCUAAAUAUUGGUAAUGACCAUGCCUUAUUAAACUAACUAAACAAAUUAAAGUUACAUUAACUGGUUAUUACCUCACCAUCAAUUGACCAACUGUAAAGCUAAAGUUUCAAUGCAAUACUCAAACAAAUUACUCACCUUUAGGGCGAUAAAAUCCACACAGGACAGGAGAGAGGGCGCGACAUGUGGGGAAUUGAAAGUGUGGAAGACCCCUGUAGAUUUGAGUUGGAGACCCUGUGAUGAUUGCAACAUGUUUGUGGCUUUUUAGUUGGUUUCUUUUGUGGAGUUUCUCUCCUUCUCUCAUAGAUUGGGCGGCUCCUCCCACACCUGCACCUUCACACCUGGACCUGAUCUCUGCAAUCACCACCUGCAUUUAGGCCCUGCUCGGAGGCUUCUCCAGUGCCAGAUUAUUCCUGCAUCUGAAGUGUGCCUCCACGAGCCCCCAGUGCUUUUUCCCUAUCGCUGCCACACUGCCUCUCUCUCUACCUGGAUUUCUUCCCCAGCCUCCACCUCUAGUCCUCACGCCUUGGACCCUGGAUCCCUUCCCUGCUCCCUUUGUUCCAUUCAAUAAAUUCACAGAACUGCU